CCUAAAUACUAAUACCAGAUCGAUAGUGCACAAGUACCGUGAGGGAAAGGUGAAAAGAACUGAGGUGAUCAGAGUGAAAUAGAACCUGAAACCAUUUGCUUACAAUCAUUCAGAGCCCUAUGUAGCAAUACAGGGUGAUGGACUGCCUUUUGCAUAAUGAGCCUGCGAGUUGUGGUGUCUGGCAAGGUUAAGCAAACGCGAAGCCGUAGCGAAAGCGAGUCUGAAUAGGGCGCUUAGUCAGAUGCUGCAGACCCGAAACGAAGUGAUCUAUCCAUGAGCAAGUUGAAGCUAGUGUAAGAACUAGUGGAGGACUGAACCCAUAGGCGUUGAAAAGCCCCGGGAUGACUUGUGGAUAGGGGUGAAAGGCCAAUCAAACUUCGUGAUAGCUGGUUCUCUCCGAAAUAUAUUUAGGUAUAGCGUUGUGUCGUAAUAUAAGGGGGUAGAGCACUGAAUGGGCUAGGGCAUACACCAAUGUACCAAACCCUAUCAAACUCCGAAUACCUUAUAUGUAAUCACAGCAGUCAGGCGGCGAGUGAUAAAAUCCGUCGUCAAGAGGGAAACAACCCAGACUACCAGCUAAGGUCCCUAAAUCUUACUUAAGUGGAAAACGAUGUGAAGUUACUUAAACAACCAGGAGGUUGGCUUAGAAGCAGCCAUCCUUUAAAGAAAGCGUAAUAGCUCACUGGUCUAGUGAUUUUGCGCGGAAAAUAUAACGGGGCUAAAGUAAGUACCGAAGCUGUAGACUUGCACACAACUUAGAUUAUUUAAGUUUAGAAUAUGAGAAACUAAGUUAUAUGUUUAGUUAUAUUUUUACUGAUUUUUAUAGAGUAAAGAUAGAAAUAAAACUUAGUAAAAUCAGUAAAAAUAUUCUUAGACUAAAGUUAAGUAGUUUAAGUUGUGUGCAAGUGGUAGGAGAGCGUUCUAUUUGCGUCGAAGGUAUACCGGUAAGGAGUGCUGGAGCGAAUAGAAGUGAGCAUGCAGGCAUGAGUAGCGAUAAUUAAUGUGAGAAUCAUUAACGCCGUAAACCCAAGGUUUCCUACGCGAUGCUCGUCAUCGUAGGGUUAGUCGGGUCCUAAGUCGAGUCCGAAAGGGGUAGACGAUGGCAAAUUGGUUAAUAUUCCAAUACCAACAUUAGUGUGCGAUGGAAGGACGCUUAGGGCUAAGGGGGCUAGCGGAUGGAAGUGCUAGUCUAAGGUCGUAGGAGGUUAUACAGGCAAAUCCGUAUAACAAUACUCCGAGAACUGAAAGGCUUUUUGAAGUCUUCGGAUGGAUAGAAGAACCCCUGAUGCCGUCGAGCCAAGAAAAGUUUCUAAGUUUAGCUAAUGUUGCCCGUACCGUAAACCGACACAGGUGGGUGGGAUGAGUAUUCUAAGGCGCGUGGAAGAACUCUCUUUAAGGAACUCUGCAAAAUAGCACCGUAUCUUCGGUAUAAGGUGUGGUUCGCUUCGUAUUAGGAUUUACUCCGAAAGCGAAGAAACUUACAACAAAGAGUCCCUCCCGACUGUUUACCAAAAACACAGCACUCUGCUAACUCGUAAGAGGAUGUAUAGGGUGUGACGCCUGCCCGGUGCUCGAAGGUUAAUUGAUGGGGUUAGCAUUAGCGAAGCUCUUGAUCGAAGCCCGAGUAAACGGCGGCCGUAACUAUAACGGUCCUAAGGUAGCGAAAUUCCUUGUCGGUUAAAUACCGACCUGCAUGAAUGGCGUAACGAGAUGGGAGCUGUCUCAAAGAGGGAUCCAGUGAAAUUGUAGUGGAGGUGAAAAUUCCUCCUACCCGCGGCAAGACGGAAAGACCCCGUGGACCUU
RNAcentral lists this ribosomal RNA (1803 nucleotides) under Campylobacter coli. RNAcentral describes it as "partial 23S ribosomal RNA". It matches the Rfam family "Bacterial large subunit ribosomal RNA", at positions 465 to 2101 of the family's 2925-position model. Lineage: Bacteria; Pseudomonadati; Campylobacterota; Epsilonproteobacteria; Campylobacterales; Campylobacteraceae. The record is from RNAcentral.